Molecule: small nuclear RNA, 103 nt
Organism: Grammomys surdaster
Lineage: Eukaryota; Metazoa; Chordata; Mammalia; Rodentia; Muridae
Source: RefSeq, a predicted model, not a curated record
UUGCUUCAGCAGCAGAUAUUGGAAAGCUGGAACAGUUCAGACAAGAUUAGCAUAGACCCUGUGCAAGAAGAACACAUGAGAUUAUGAAUUUCAAUAUUUAGAA